AUUGAACGCUGGCGGAAUGCUUUACACAUGCAAGUCGAACGGCAGCACGGGGCAACCUGGUGGCGAGUGGCGAACGGGUGAGUAAUACAUCGGAACGUGCCCAGUCGUGGGGGAUAACGUAGCGAAAGUUACGCUAAUACCGCAUACGAUCUAAGGAUGAAAGCGGGGGAGCGCAAGACCUCGCGCGAUUGGAGCGGCCGAUGUCAGAUUAGGUAGUUGGUGGGGUAAAGGCCCACCAAGCCGACGAACUGGAGCUGGUCUGAGAGGACGACCAGCCACACUGGGACUGAGACACGGCCCAGACUCCUACGGGAGGCAGCAGUGGGGAAUUUUGGACAAUGGGCGCAAGCCUGAUCCAGCCAUUCCGCGUGCAGGAUGAAGGCCUUCGGGUUGUAAACUGCUUUUGUACGGAGCGAAAAGGCUCUCUCUAAUACAGGGGGCUCAUGACGGUACCGUAAGAAUAAGCACCGGCUAACUACGUGCCAGCAGCCGCCGUAA
This 498-nucleotide ribosomal RNA is filed under the name uncultured bacterium. RNAcentral describes it as "partial 16S ribosomal RNA". It matches the Rfam family "Bacterial small subunit ribosomal RNA", at positions 29 to 523 of the family's 1533-position model. The record is from RNAcentral.